CCUACGGGAGGCAGCAGUGAGGAAUAUUGGUCAAUGGACGAGAGUCUGAACCAGCCAAGUAGCGUGAAGGAUGACUGCCCUAUGGGUUGUAAACUUCUUUUAUAAAGGAAUAAAACGAGGCACGUGUGCCUUUUUGCAUGUACUUUAUGAAUAAGGAUCGGCUAACUCUGGACCAUCAGCCGCGGUAGUACGGGGGAUGCGAGCGUUAUCCGGAUUUAUUGGGUUUAAAGGGAGCGUCGGCGGGCGUUUAAGUCAGCGGUAAAAAUUCGGGGUGCAACCCCGUCCGGCCGUUGAAACUGGGGGCCUGGAGUGGGCGAGAGGAAGGCGGAAUGCGUGGUGUAGCGGUGAAAUGCAUAGAUAUCACGCAGAACCCCGAUUGCGAAGGCAGCCUUCUGGCGCCCUACUGACGCUGAGGCACGAAAGUGCGGGGAUCGAACAGGAUUAGAUACCCGAGUAGUC
RNAcentral lists this ribosomal RNA (459 nucleotides) under uncultured bacterium. RNAcentral describes it as "partial 16S ribosomal RNA". It matches the Rfam family "Bacterial small subunit ribosomal RNA", at positions 338 to 795 of the family's 1533-position model. The record is from RNAcentral.